Molecule: ribosomal RNA, 477 nt
Filed under: uncultured anaerobic ammonium-oxidizing bacterium
Lineage: Bacteria
Description: bacterial SSU rRNA
Rfam family: Bacterial small subunit ribosomal RNA
Source: RNAcentral
UUCGCAAUGCCCGAAAGGGUGACGAAGCGACGCCACGUGCGGGAAGAAGGCCUUCGGGUUGUAAACCGCUGUCGGGAGUUAGGAAGUGCAAGGGCGUUAAUAGCGUUCUUGCUUGACUAAGGCUCCAGAGGAAGCCACGGCUAACUCUGUGCCAGCAGCCGCGGUAAUACAGAGGCGGCAAGCGUUGUUCGGAAUUAUCGGGCGUAAAGAGCACGUAGGCGGCCUUGCAAGUCAGCUGUGAAAGCCUUCCGCUCAACGGGAGAACGGCAUCCGAUACUGCAUGGCUCGAGUGCGGGAGGGGAGAGUGGAACUUCUGGCGGAGCGGUGAAAUGCGUAGAUAUCAGAAGGAACGUCGGCGGCGAAGGCGACUCUCUGGCCUAUUACUGACACUGAGUGUGCGAAAGUUAGGGGAGCAAACGGGAUUAGAUACCCCGGUAGUCCUAGCCGUAAACGAUGGGCACUAAGUAGAGGGGUUUU